AUGAACAAGUCCACACUGCAAACGGAGAAGGGAACGAGGAAAACCCUUCUCCGGGGCAGAUGUAGACGUGGUCUCUACCCCCUGUCAUCGGCUCCUUUGAGUUCAAACAAGCAAGCUUUUGGCGUCAAUAAACUGCCCACCGAGAGGUGGCACAGCCGGCUAGGACACCCUUCAUCCACCAUAGUGCGUCAUGUCCUUAGCCAAAACAACAUUCCUUUCUCAAGUAGUGAGUUGAAUAAAGAAGGUGUUUGUGAUGCAUGCCAAAUGGGCAAAAGUCACCAACUAUCUUAUCCUAGUUCAUUAAGUGUUUCCAAAGCUCCUUUAGAGCAAGUGUUUUCCGAUGUAUGGGGGCCUGCCCGUGAUUCUAUCAAUAAGAAAAACUAUUAUGUC
RNAcentral lists this ribosomal RNA (390 nucleotides) under Triticum aestivum (bread wheat). RNAcentral's name for it is "partial small subunit ribosomal RNA". Lineage: Eukaryota; Viridiplantae; Streptophyta; Magnoliopsida; Poales; Poaceae. The record is from RNAcentral.